GAUGAACGCUGGCGGCGUGCCUAAUACAUGCAAGUCGAGCGAACAGACGAGGAGCUUGCUCCUCUGACGUUAGCGGCGGACGGGUGAGUAACACGUGGAUAACCUACCUAUAAGACUGGGAUAACUUCGGGAAACCGGAGCUAAUACCGGAUAAUAUAUUGAACCGCAUGGUUCAAUAGUGAAAGACGGUUUUGCUGUCACUUAUAGAUGGAUCCGCGCCGCAUUAGCUAGUUGGUAAGGUAACGGCUUACCAAGGCGACGAUGCGUAGCCGACCUGAGCGGGUGAUCGGCCACACUGGAACUGAGACACGGUCCAGACUCCUACGGGAGGCAGCAGUAGGAAAUCUUCCGCAAUGGGCGAAAGCCUGACGGAGCAACGCCGCGUGAGUGAUGAAGGUCUUCGGAUCGUAAAACUCUGUUAUUAGGGAAGAACAAAUGUGUAAGUAACUAUGCACGUCUUGACGGUACCUAAUCAGAAAGCCACGGCUAACUACGUG
RNAcentral lists this ribosomal RNA (497 nucleotides) under uncultured bacterium. Its description in RNAcentral is "partial 16S ribosomal RNA". It matches the Rfam family "Bacterial small subunit ribosomal RNA", at positions 28 to 507 of the family's 1533-position model. The record is from RNAcentral.